AGAUGGCUGAUAAGUCUCAAAUAGGGCGAAAUGCGCAUCCUGUAU
This 45-nucleotide non-coding RNA is filed under the name Trichobilharzia regenti. The record is from RNAcentral. Lineage: Eukaryota; Metazoa; Platyhelminthes; Trematoda; Strigeidida; Schistosomatidae.